UGCCUUACACAUGCAAGUCGAACGGCAGCACGGGAGCAAUCCUGGUGGCGAGUGGCCUUAAGGGAGAGUAAUAUAUCGGAACGUGCCCAGUAGUGGGGGAUAGCCCGGCGAAAGCCGGAUUAAUACCGCAUGAGACCUGAGGGCGACAGCGGGGGACUCGCAAGAGCCUCGCGCUACUGGAGCGGCCGAUAUCAGAUUAGCUAGUUGGUGGGGUAAAAGCCUACCAAGGCUACGAUCUGUAGUUGGUCUGAGAGGACGACCAGCCAGACUGGGACUGAGACACGGC
This 286-nucleotide ribosomal RNA is filed under the name uncultured bacterium. RNAcentral describes it as "partial 16S ribosomal RNA". It matches the Rfam family "Bacterial small subunit ribosomal RNA", at positions 45 to 330 of the family's 1533-position model. The record is from RNAcentral.